UAGGCUGCAACUCGCCACAUGAAGCUGGAAUUGCUAGUAAUCACAGGUCAGCAUACUGUGGUGAAUACGUUCCCGGGCCUUGUACACACCGCCCGUCACACCAUGAGAGUUGAGAAUACCCGAAGUCCAUGUCAAAGUGGCCGAAGGUAGGCUUGAUGAUUGGGGUGAAGUCGUAACAAGGUAAC
Molecule: ribosomal RNA, 185 nt
Filed under: uncultured bacterium
Lineage: Bacteria
Description: partial 16S ribosomal RNA
Rfam family: Bacterial small subunit ribosomal RNA
Source: RNAcentral